This 433-nucleotide ribosomal RNA is filed under the name uncultured bacterium. RNAcentral's name for it is "partial 16S ribosomal RNA". It matches the Rfam family "Bacterial small subunit ribosomal RNA", at positions 29 to 507 of the family's 1533-position model. The record is from RNAcentral.
AACGAACGCUGGCGGCAUGCCUAACACAUGCAAGUCGAACGAGACCUUCGGGUCUAGUGGCGCACGGGUGCGUAACGCGUGGGAACCUGCCCUUAGGUUCGGAAUAACUCCCCGAAAGGGGUGCUAAUACCGGAUAAUGUCUUCGGACCAAAGAUUUAUCGCCUUUGGAUGGGCCCGCGUUGGAUUAGCUAGUUGGUAGGGUAAAAGCCUACCAAGGCGACGAUCCAUAGCUGGUCUGAGAGGAUGAUCAGCCACACUGGGACUGAGACACGGCCCAGACUCCUACGGGAGGCAGCAGUGGGGAAUAUUGGAAAAAGGGCGAAAGACUGAUCCAGCAAUGCCGCGUGAGUGAUGAAGGCCUUAGGGUUGUAAAGCUCUUUUACCCGGGAUGAUAAUGACAGUACCGGGAGAAUAAGCUCCGGCUAACUCCGUG